CGGGAAACCGGCUGCGGAGCGCUCCCGAGCGUGGCCGGCCUUGAAGCUAGAAGAGGGGCAGGCCGUGAGUUGUUAACGUCCGGGCGGCUGCUGGCAGCCAUGAAGUAGCGCUGCCGGCUAUCGACUUGUCCAGCUGGUCAAGGUGGGAUGAGCCUGUUACGGUGGGAACCGGUGCCAGCCUCAGCGCCUGCAUUUUGGAGUUCUCGUACUUGGUUGUAUGAGCUCUCCCACUGUCCAGUGAGUUUCUGUUUCCCGACAGCCCUCUCUCAUAAACGCACUGCCAGGUCAGAGGUGUGUGUCUGCAUAGUGCAGCCUGUUGUAUCCCUCUGAGCACCGCAGGAGCUGACAUAGAUUUCAGCAGGGUGUCCAGCCCACAGCAACAACGCCCUUUUCCUCAACAGGUUUGGUUAGCCCCAAGCAAACUGCUCUGCUCACAUGGCUGAACUGUGUCUGCUGCUGGAGGCAGCUUGGAUGUAUCUGCACAGAACUGUGUUACAUCAUCAUCCCUAAUAAAUACUUGGCAAAUCAAA
Pezoporus occidentalis (night parrot) is the source of this 530-nucleotide long non-coding RNA. RefSeq lists it as uncharacterized. The transcript is spliced from 2 exons. NCBI's taxonomy places the organism in Eukaryota, Metazoa, Chordata, Aves, Psittaciformes, Psittacidae. The record is from RefSeq and is a predicted model, not a curated record.